AUUUCUGGUGUACCUCUGUAUCCUUAAGUUAUAAGGAGACAGGAAUUGAAGUCUGGUGAAUGAACCAUGACCCUGUGAUCAGAGCGUGAUUGACGGUAGUGGUGGUCUUCUUUGCGGACUAGGCUCAUCACCAACUGUAGAGGAUCGUUCCCGUUCUUACGAAUUGGGGUUGGUUUUGAUUGCGCGUUUUGGGAUCUGAGG
RNAcentral lists this small nucleolar RNA (201 nucleotides) under Vigna angularis (adzuki bean). RNAcentral describes it as "snoRNA Plant_U3". Lineage: Eukaryota; Viridiplantae; Streptophyta; Magnoliopsida; Fabales; Fabaceae. The record is from RNAcentral.